CCCGGAGGCGGCCGGGACCCCCGGCCCCGGCGCCCCCGGACCCGCUGCCUCGGCUCGACGGGGACCCGCGCGAGGGCCGGAGCGCUCCCGGCCGUCGGGCGCGUCGCCAGGCCUCGUCCUCGGCCCUGGGCCCCAGCCCGCCCCUGCCCUGGCGCCGCUGCCACCUGGGCACCUGUCAGAUCCAGAACCUGGCCAGCCUCCUCUACCGCCUCGGGGGCAACGCCGCCAAGGAGUCCUCCGGGAAGAACAGCAAGGGCACCUCGGACCCGCUGGGCUACGGCCGCAGGCGGAGGAGGCGGAGGAGGCGGAGGCGGAGGAGGAGGAGGAGGGGAGCCCCCCGACCCCCGCCCGAUGCCCCCCCGGGGACCCUCCCCGCCUCACGGCUCCGCCCUUGACCCGGGCUCCAGAGGAGGGGACCCCGCACGCCCCAGCCGCCCGGCCUGGAGCUGCCCCCCCGCCCCCCGCCUGCCCCUGGGGCCCGGACACCCCCCGCUCCCGGACUGACCCCCUCCCCCGGGUGGCCUUGGUGGGGCGGGGGGCGACUAGGGGCUCCCCACCCUCCGCUGGCGUGCGAGGUCCUUUCCCCAGGCGGCGGGCCUGUCCUACCCCCUAAUAAACGCUGACCCGGCAGGCUGGGUUUUUCUUUUCAUUA
This is a long non-coding RNA of Ornithorhynchus anatinus (platypus), 652 nucleotides long. RefSeq lists it as uncharacterized. NCBI's taxonomy places the organism in Eukaryota, Metazoa, Chordata, Mammalia, Monotremata, Ornithorhynchidae. The transcript is spliced from 2 exons. The record is from RefSeq and is a predicted model, not a curated record.